This 94-nucleotide ribosomal RNA is filed under the name Yersinia enterocolitica. RNAcentral also lists the same sequence under 1 other name. The record is from RNAcentral. Lineage: Bacteria; Pseudomonadati; Pseudomonadota; Gammaproteobacteria; Enterobacterales; Yersiniaceae.
UCCCACCUGAUCCCAUGCCGAACUCAGAAGUGAAACGCCGUAGCGCCGAUGGUAGUGUGGGGUCUCCCCAUGCGAGAGUAGGACACUGCCAGGC